Long non-coding RNA from Brienomyrus brachyistius, 1783 nucleotides. RefSeq lists it as uncharacterized. The record is from RefSeq and is a predicted model, not a curated record. NCBI's taxonomy places the organism in Eukaryota, Metazoa, Chordata, Actinopteri, Osteoglossiformes, Mormyridae. The transcript is spliced from 3 exons.
GUAGCGCUGCUCUUGCCGCAGUGCUGUGUUUGUGCUGCGUUUUGUUAAGAGCGUAAGUCUGUUUUUGAAGCGUAAAAAAUAAAGAUAAAGAAAUAUAGAGUUUGCACCAGUGGAAACAGCACGGCACUCGGGCCUUGCCUGCAGUGGCCUCGUACUGCGGUGCUCUCACGGGCAUGCAGGCUGAUGCGCCCUUUUCCGUUGCUUUCCUGCUAUCCGCUAUGUACUAUCGUGCAUUUUCCAUCAUUUUGGAUAAUGUUUCCCGAUGCAUUGGUGUUAUUGCCAGCUACUGCAUAUUUGUAAUUUCGUAGUGAGUUUACAUUUUCUGUUUUUCGAAGUGGUGCACAGCUAGGCUGUUUUUUAUUAUACAGAGAGCCUUGCAAGUUGUCCACGUGUUAUACGCUGAGCCACGUGACAGCCUGAAAUGAUCAUUCUGAAGAAUCGUUGCGUUUCAGCGCCUAAGCCUGACUUCAUAAGCGGCUCGAUGGAUGAGGUCUGCAGGAAGCCUAAUUCUUCACCAGAACUAUGGAUUAAUGCUGGCCCAAGGAAGUUCUUCAGCAGGGAAUCCAGUGAUCAGAGGAUGGGGAGUAAGAGAAGGACGCUCACUGACAGCAGGAGGACAAGAUCAAACAUUCUUCCCUCCAUCUUCUGCUGCCGGCUGAAGUGCUGCGAAUUUGCUGCCUGGGUAUUUUUUUUUUACUUGAAAUCAGAGGCUCACGUUUGCCGUCGUUGGCGGUAAUUUAGUUUUGGCGCCCAGCCUCGUGGUUCCCUUUUACGGGGAGGCUCGCGCUUGGAGGGGUCGUCAUUAAUUGGAUGGGUUUUUUUUGUUUGCACCCAGGGUAACUGGGAAGCAGCUUAGAACGCACAAGCACAGCCGAUUCCAACAUCGGCGAAUGAGGAACGUGCACGCUGAGAUGCGCUAUGCAGCCUAAACAGGCCUACAUCUGCACAGCAUGUGUGGACACAUGCAGUCUCGACACAUAUCCCGUACUCUGCGACUAUCGCUUUAGUACCAGGUUGAGUAAUCCUUGCCUUUGUGGCCCUGCUGGUGGCUUGGCGGCUGUUUUUCACUUAGUAGCUAAUGUGCGACACCACGUUAAAUGACUUUCACUCAAUUUUUGUACUGCAUUCAAAUACGCUGUAUGGUUUUAAGGGUGAUGUAUGAGGUUUGGUGAAAAAAAGACACUUUGCACUUGUCGUGUUGAAAUUUCCCCUUUAAGUCUACCACCAUAGACCUUGGAAGCCCUGACUAUGCUCAACCUAUGAUGUGGAUCGCACGUUGUUAAUGUUUAAUGGUUGGCUCUACUCAUGUUGCCAUAGACCUCCAAGAGGAAGAAAGAGGAAGCUGAUUGGUCGAAAGACCUGCGUGCGGGCAGCAGAUGGGCUCUGUGUAGCACGCUGGUGAUUGUCUCUUAUGGCUGCCGUGCAUGAAGGCCAAGCGCAUUGAUCUGGUGGGGCAUCUUCCCUGGGGAGGCAGGCGGUUAUCUUGUCAAAGGCAAAAGGACAUCUGCAAGGUUGUGCUGCCCAAGCUCCAUGCCAUGACAACCAUGCUCUCCAGCCUUCAUAUCUGAGAGUUUGGAUUUUAUCAAUGGAUUUUAUCAGUUUAAACUAACUAGAUAUUCUACUAAAUGUUCAGGUUCUCUAUCUUGGAGUGCCAGAACAUAAUGCUGCAACCUUUUGGCUGUGUUCAAUUUCUUACCAUUGUGGUGUUGCUAAUUUUCCCAGUUGGCCACUGGAUCCAUUGUUGUUACAACACCAAGUUAUUUUAAGAAAUUAGGCAAGGCCU